AUGAUGAACGCUAGCUACAGGCUUAACACAUGCAAGUCGAGGGGCAGCAUGACGAUAGCUUGCUAUUGUUGAUGGCGACCGGCGCACGGGUGAGUAACGCGUAUCCAACCUUCCCAUUACUCAGGGAUAGCCCAGCGAAAGUUGGAUUAAUACCUGAUGGUUUUCAUCGAUCCCAUGAGAAGUGAAAUAAAGAUUUAUCGGUAAUGGAUGGGGAUGCGUCUGAUUAGGUAGUAGGCGGGGUAACGGCCCACCUAGCCUACGAUCAGUAGGGGUUCUGAGAGGAAGGUCCCCCACAUUGGAACUGAGACACGGUCCAAACUCCUACGGGAGGCAGCAGUGAGGAAUAUUGGUCAAUGGACGCGAGUCUGAACCAGCCAAGUAGCGUGCAGGAUGACGGCCCUAUGGGUUGUAAACUGCUUUUAUGCGGGGAUAAAGUGAGGGACGUGUCCCUUUUUGCAGGUACCGCAUGAAUAAGGACCGGCUAAUUCCGUGCCAGCAGCCGCGGUAAUACGGAAGGUCCGGGCGUUAUCCGGAUUUAUUGGGUUUAAAGGGAGCGUAGGCCGGACUUUAAGCGUGUUGUGAAAUGUAGAUGCUCAACAUCUGAAUUGCAGCGCGAACUGGAGUCCUUGAGUGUGCAGAAAGAUGGCGGAAUUCGUCGUGUAGCGGUGAAAUGCUUAGAUAUGACGAAGAACUCCGAUUGCGAAGGCAGCUGUCUGUAGCAUUACUGACGCUGAUGCUCGAAGGUGCGGGUAUCGAACAGGAUUAGAUACCCUGGUAGUCCGCACAGUAAACGAUGGACGCUCGUUGUUCCGGCUUCGGCUGGUGCGACCAAGGGAAACCAUUAAGCAUCCCACCUGGGGAGUACGCCGGCAACGGUGAAACUCAAAGGAAUUGACGGGGGCCCGCACAAGCGGAGGAACAUGUGGUUUAAUUCGAUGAUACGCGAGGAACCUUACCCGGGCUUGAACUGCAGCGGAAGGAAACAGAGAUGUCGACGUCCUUCGGGACCGCUGUGGAGGUGCUGCAUGGUUGUCGUCAGCUCGUGCCGUGAGGUGUCGGCUUAAGUGCCAUAACGAGCGCAACCCCUGUCUUUAGUUGCCAUCAGGUUAAGCUGGGCACUCUGGAGAUACUGCCACCGCAAGGUGUGAGGAAGGUGGGGAUGACGUCAAAUCAGCACGGCCCUUACGUCCGGGGCUACACACGUGUUACAAUGGCGUGUACAGAGAGUUGGAAUCAUGCAAAUAGUUUCUAAUCAAUAAAACACGUCUCAGUUCGGAUUGGGGUCUGCAACCCGACCCCAUGAAGCUGGAUUCGCUAGUAAUCGCGCAUCAGCCAUGGCGCGGUGAUACGUUCCCGGGCAUGUACACGCCGCCCGUACAGGCGACUUCGCGCCGCAUACGUGAAAAAAAACUCUGG
Molecule: ribosomal RNA, 1416 nt
Filed under: uncultured Prevotellaceae bacterium
Lineage: Bacteria; Pseudomonadati; Bacteroidota; Bacteroidia; Bacteroidales; Prevotellaceae
Description: bacterial SSU rRNA
Rfam family: Bacterial small subunit ribosomal RNA
Source: RNAcentral